Molecule: ribosomal RNA, 433 nt
Filed under: uncultured bacterium
Lineage: Bacteria
Description: bacterial SSU rRNA
Rfam family: Bacterial small subunit ribosomal RNA
Source: RNAcentral
ACAUGCAGUCGAACGGUAACAGGAAGCAGCUUGCUGCUUCGCUGACGAGUGGCGGACGGGUGAGUAAUGUCUGGGAAACUGCCUGAUGGAGGGGGAUAACUACUGGAAACGGUAGCUAAUACCGCAUAACGUCGCAAGACCAAAGAGGGGGACCUUCGGGCCUCUUGCCAUCGGAUGUGCCCAGAUGGGAUUAGCUAGUAGGUGGGGUAACGGCUCACCUAGGCGACGAUCCCUAGCUGGUCUGAGAGGAUGACCAGCCACACUGGAACUGAGACACGGUCCAGACUCCUACGGGAGGCAGCAGUGGGGAAUAUUGCACAAUGGGCGCAAGCCUGAUGCAGCCAUGCCGCGUGUAUGAAGAAGGCCUUCGGGUUGUAAAGUACUUUCAUCGGGGAGGAAGGCGAUAAGGUUAAUAACCUUGUCGAUUGACGUU